RNAcentral lists this ribosomal RNA (372 nucleotides) under uncultured bacterium. Its description in RNAcentral is "bacterial SSU rRNA". It matches the Rfam family "Bacterial small subunit ribosomal RNA", at positions 524 to 898 of the family's 1533-position model. The record is from RNAcentral.
UACGGAGGAUGCAAGCGUUAUCCGGAUUCAUUGGGUUUAAAGGGUGCGUAGGCGGAAUGAUAAGUCAGUGGUGAAAUCCUACAGCUCAACUGUAGAACUGCCAUUGAUACUGUUGUUCUUGAGUACAUUUGAAGUGGGCGGAAUGUGUCAUGUAGCGGUGAAAUGCAUAGAGAUGACACAGAACACCGAUUGCGAAGGCAGCUCACUAAACUGUAACUGACGCUGAGGCACGAAAGCGUGGGGAUCAAACAGGAUUAGAUACCCUGGUAGUCCACGCUGUAAACGAUGAUCACUCGAUGUUGGCGAUAAACUGUCAGCGUCCAAGCGAAAGCAUUAAGUGAUCCACCUGGGGAGUACGGUCGCAAGAUUGAA